GCCCUCAUAGGUUUUAUUCUCAUGUAUAAAUCUUGCAUUCAAUUUGAAUGUUCUUCUCAUUUCCAUGAUAUUUUACAUGAUCUCUCCAUUUUAAUUUCAGAACAACAUCAGAGGGAAUACGAGGGAUGUGAGAAAAGUGUAGGUAAGUUUUCAAAAAUCCCAUUGCUUCCAAACCCAUUAAAAUGACAGUUUUCUCCUGGCAUUAUCAUUUCCUGCCUUUGAAUCUACAUCCGUCCUCUGCCUUGCUCUUCUCCUGGAUGUCGGCCCUUCCCUCCCCAAUUAUACGUGUAUGCAUUUCAUCUUA
This 304-nucleotide long non-coding RNA is filed under the name Sus scrofa (pig). RNAcentral's name for it is "lncRNA (ENSSSCG00070020040.1)". Lineage: Eukaryota; Metazoa; Chordata; Mammalia; Artiodactyla; Suidae. The record is from RNAcentral.